CCGUGGUGCGGGCGCGUCUCGUUGCCGUAGCCCCCGUACUGCGGCCUCUCGUCGCCGGACUCGUGGGAGACGUGCACCACGUUGCCGUGGGCGGGCGCGCCGUAGCCUUCGUCGCGGCCGCCUCCGUACGCCGGAGCGGGGGCGUGGCGCCCGUAGUCACCCCCGCCGUACCCGGCCGGCGCGGGCGCGUGGCGCCCGUAGUCGUCCUCGCGCCCCCCACCGUAGGCCGGGGCGCGGCCGCCGUAGUCGUCCUCGCGCCCCCCACCGUAGGCCGGGGCGCGGCCGCCGUAGUCGUCCUCGCGCCCCCCACCGUAGGCCGGGGCGCGGCCGCCGUAGUCGUCCUCGCGGCCGCCACCGUAGGCGGGGGGCGGGGCGCCGUAGGCGACGUCGUCGGGGCGGCGGCCGUAGGACGGGGGAGGGGCGCCGUAGGGGUCGGGCUCUUGGCGGCCGUAGGGGGCGGGGGGGCGGCGGUCGUCGUCGUCGUCGUCGCGGCGGCCGUGGCCGUGGCCGUGGCGGUGAGGGAACUCCAUGAUUGAUUGGCCUGUCGGUGGUGGUGGUCGGGACUCGGGAAAUGGGAACGCGGGGGGGUGGUGGAGGUGGAUCCGAUCCGAGCCUAAAUAUGUCGCGUCGCCGGAGUACAUGUCGACGGGCGGGUGAGGUGAGCGCGCGACGUGGCGCCAAUGGGACGCGCUCGCACGACCGACCGACCGACCGGCCGGGCCGAUUCAAUUUCGCAACUGGGCGAUGGCGAUCGGUGGAUCGCCACGUGCACAGCUUUGCACUACACACGUCGCGGAUGGUGGAAAAAUCGUGGUCGUAUCUCAUCCGUUGUUUCUUUUCCUUCGGAUGCCGCGGGAGAUCGGAUCGUAUCAAGCCAAACCAGUCAAGUACCAGCUCAACAAAAAUCAACCGAGCACUCAAUUAUUGCUUGAAUUUCAAGAAGAAAAAAAGGGAAAAGGAGAAUUCGAUGUGGUGUGUACGCUGUGGCCCAAUGGUGCAGCUGCGAGUUCUGAUUUCUUGUUUGAUUGGGGUUGCAUGCGCGGAGGCAGCGGGCGCCAGACGGCGAAUCCUAUUUGACGCUGCAAGCGUCGGUUAAAGUGUAUUUUUCUUAACUGACGCCUGCAGUUUUCGGUCAUGGCCGACCCUUCGGGAGGCGGUUUUUCCGUCUUUGUGAAGGUUCCGCAAGCUUUCUAGAUGGAUUUUCUUAUUUAUGUUUUUUAGGACUGGUUCUUCUUUGGUUUAUCUUUUUUUCUUUAUUAUUUUUAUUACUUUUUCAUUUUCGUUUUAAUAUUUAUAUAAUUUUUACUUUUUGAAAAACGCAGCCAUUUCUUGAUUAACUUUUUCUCAAACGAACAAAUAUUUUUUCAGAUCAAUGAACCUUUUUCAGAAUUAUAUGUUCUUUUAUUAAAAUUCUAUGAACAUUUGUGAAUAUCGAUGAACUUUUUUCAAAUUAUGAUGAACGUUUUUCUGAUUGAUGAACUUUUUGAAAUGGAUGAACCUUUUUAAGAAUUGUGAAAAAAAAUUCAGUUCAACAAUUUUUUUAAAAAAAAAUCAAAUUCAUGAACUAAUUUUCAAAAUCCGUUAACUUUUUAAAAAUGUGAGAAGUUUUUUUUCAGAUCACAAUGAAUUUUUUCAAAUUCGUUAACUUUUUGUUUCAAAAUUGGUGAACCAUUUUUCGCUUUUAUGAACCUUUUAUGUUCUUUUUUUUUUGGUUUUUAUUAUAAAAAACCCACCUUGAGCCUGGGCCGGCCCGUUAUGCACGGUGUGUGGGCGCUAGUUCUCCUAGCUGGCGCUUAAGGCGCCGCCUCGCCGCUAUGAGCUCCCGGGCCAUACCCCCCCCCCCCACCCAAGGAACUAGUAGUAAUAUAUUGGCUUAAUUAUACGAUGGACUUAAUCCACUUGUUGACUCGUACCUGCUAAUCGAUCCACACGAUCAACGAUACGCACACACUAAUCCAAUUUGAUGUUAUCGACUCUUUCCUCGGCGACGCACCAGUCGCUAGGGUUUCAUUGACGCCGCCGUGCUGGUCGCCGGUUGUCGCGUCGGGCCGCCACCGCCGACCCGCUGUGCUCCGCCCGUCAUCGACCGUGCUGCCGCCGACCAUGCAUCAAUCGAGUACAGAGAGUCCACACAGGCUAAGAAGUUGAACGGCGCUGCCGCAAGCCCACACACAAUCCCUAACCGAUGCUGUGCAGCUGUGUUGUGAUCAGAAGACGAGGUCUUGAUGUAAUGUAAGGUGUACAAUUGUCUAGUGUCUACAGACCAGGUUUCAUAUUAUUGUGGUUGUCACUUGUUGGUUUGAUUCAUUCAAUAGAUCAAUUAAUCAAUUGUUAGUACUUAGUAGUUAGUAAUAAUUUAUUUUGAUACUUGUGAGAUCAAUUACAUAUUUUCUUUUUACUUAAUGGAAGAACUGAAAACUGCAUAGGUCAUGAAUAAGAGGAAGACAUCACCGAUAAGUAAUGGUUUCAACCAAUUGCUACAAACUCUAACUCUGCGAUUGAAAAUGCAAAUGCAAGUGUCAAGGUAGAUGUCACACAGCAACCCACUGGUCAUAAUGUCCCCAAUCUCAGUUCAGUUGAUAUGCCACCCCCCGAGCAAAAUAUUCAGGUAUCUGUGGAAGUUCUAGAACAGCAAAGAAUUGGAAGCACACCAUUUGAGCGAGACCCUGGAAAGCGCAAAUAAAUUUGGGAACUCCCUCUUGAGAAGCAAAAUGAAGCACCUUGAUCGUAAAUCUCUCGAAAACUCGUCACUAUAGCUUAUCUGUGGUGGCACCAAUACUGUUAGAGAUUGGAGAGCUAGUUUCCUCUUUUUCUUCCUUUUACAUUUAACAUGUAAAUCCGUCAUCCAACGUACCGGGCCAUCUUUGUGCAAAGUUUGCUUGCACACUGACGGUCAUCGAAAGUUGGAUGGAUUUGAGACCCUCUUUCCUGCUCAUCAGCUUAUUGAUUGAUGAUGCCAGGAGGCAGGAGCUCUUUUGUUGAAUAAAGCUCUCUGACUGGAACACAAAAAAAGACACAACCAUUCAAAAAUGAUUGUGACAUUUACAAAAGUAUUCACGCUCUUCAAACAUAUGUUCACAACAUUUUCAGGAAAUGUCUAUACAACAGUAAAGAAAGUUAUGUAACUUCAAAUAAAUUGUACUACCAUUAAAAAAACUUUGUGUCAUCAUAAAAAAGGUUCACACGUUUCAAAAACAUGUUCGUAUUGUUUUUCUACAUAUGUUCGUACCAUUCAAAAAAUGUUUGUGACAUUGAGAAAAAUGUGCAUGUGUUUCGGAAAAAAUGUUGUUGAUUUUUUUAUACAAAUGUAAAAAAAAGUUUGCUUAGUUUAGAAGAAAAAAUAUUAUACCAUAAAAAAUAUGAUCAAAUAUGUAUUCCAAAAAAGUUGGACACGUAUUCAAAAAAAAUGUUCAAAGCAUUUAAAAAAAAACUAAUGUGUAUCAAAAAUAGUUGCUGAUGUACACAAAAAUGUACAACAUAUAUGAAAAAAUAGACAUGUAUUGAGAAAAUGGGGAAAUAUUAAACGUAUACGAAAUAGACAUCUAUUGUGGCAGUUCAAGACAAUAAUCGUAGUCGUCAAAAGGUUCUUCCUUUGCGACAGCAAGAACAACUUGGUGGGUAAUUUGUCAAUUCUUAAAGCCAUUCAUUCACCAUCACUUGAUUAAUUUGUAACUCAGCUAAUUAGCCACUAGCUACGACUAACAUCACUUGCAUAGCUUGUGGGGCAUCACUUUGCUUUCAGCACAAGAAAGUACUUAUAGUUAAUAAGUUAUUUGAGCUAAGUAGCAAUCCAAUGUGCGACGUGGAGUUUCUCAGCCCGCGCUCAACUGAGCUCGAAUGAACAGUAAAAGUAAAGUGAGAAAAACUGCGGCAAACCUAUUUAGCGUGACAGGCAUUGCUUAAAGGAAAAAGUUGCUAACCGGCGCCUGCAGGGCUCCGUAAUGGGCGGGCCCAUGUUGAGAUCCUUCAUGAACUUUUUUUAGCCUGUGAAAUGUUUUAGCCCGUGAUCUUUUUUUGAAAUCGGUAAACUUUUUUGAAAAUCAAUGAUAUUUUUUGGAAAUUCAUGAACAUUUCUGAAAAUCAAUGAACAUAAUUUAAAAUUCAUGAUUUUUUUCAAAAUCAGUGAAAUAUUUUUAAAAAUUGAUGAACUUUUUCAAAAUCAGUGAACUGUUCUUAAAAAUUGAUGAACUUUUUUCAAAAUCAAUGAUUGUUUUUUCGAAUCUUUAAACUUUUUGAAAAUCCAUGAAAAUAUUUUUCAAAAAUAGGUGAACAUUUUCAUAAUAAUUGAACUUUUUUGAAAAUCUGAACUUUUUAAAAUUCUGUGAACUUUUCUCAAAUUUUUAGUGACCAAGACAUUUUUUACAUGGGAGGAGUGCUUCAGGCGCCGGUUUCCCUAACUGGCGCUGAAGGCGCCAAAUACGAGGGGACUUCCUAUACCGUACCUUCAGCGUCCUCUAAGCCAAUUGGCGCUCGAUGUACCUUCCUAUACCGUCCUAUUUAAACUUUUUAAAAAUCCAUGAACAUAUUUUUCAAAAAUAGGUGAACUUUUUUCAUAAUAAUUGAACUUUUUUGAAAAUCUGAACUUUCUAAAAUUCUGUGAACUUUUCUCAAAUUUUUAAUGACCAAGACAUUUUUUACAUGGGAGGAGUGCUGCAGGCGCCGGUUUCCCUAACUGGCGCUGAAGGCGCCAAAUAGGAGGGGACUUCCUAUACCGUACCUUCAGCGUCCUCUAAGCCAAUUGGCGCUCGAUGUACCUUCCUAUACCGUCCUCUUUAAACUUUUUGAAAAUCCAUGAAUAUAUUUUUCAAAAAUAGGUGAACUUUUUUCAUAAUAAUUGAACUUUUUUGAAAAUCUGAACUUUCUUAAAUUCUGUGAACUUUUCUCAAAUUUUUAAUGACCAAGACAUUUUUUACAUUGGCUGGCCCAUGAGGAGGAGUGUUGCACGCGCCGGUUUCCCUAACUGGCGCUGAAGGCGCCAAAUAGGAGGGGACUUCCUAUACCAUACCUUCAGCGUCCUCUAAGCCAAUUGGCGCUCGCUGUAUCGAAUUCAUGGGCCGACCAACGACGCGCAACACAAGCGCAAAAGUCCUAAAAAAUGAUGGGGAUUGAUCUGCGACGGCGCGCUGGCCCAAACUUUUGGCCGGCCGCGCGCGAGCGGCAGGAUCCACCAACCCCGCGUCGUCCGCACCAUUGGAUCCGCAUGCAACAUUUUUUUUUCCUAUGCAGCAAAAUUUCGAUUCGAUGCGAUGCAGCAAUUUUUUUAACGGUUGCAACAAAAAACAAAAAUUGUGCCAAAAAAAUAUUUACGUGAUCGUAGCAAAAAAAUAAAGCUGAUGGUACGUGGUAGCAAAAGUCAAACGCCGAUUGUAACAAAUAUUUAUGUGACGUGUAUGCAACUUUUUUAGUGAACAGUUGCAGCAAACAUGAUGCCGGUUGUAGCAAAAAUUAACACGGUUGUAGCAAAAAGUAAAAAACAUCGAUUGUAACGAAAAAUCCAACGAACUGGUGUUGCAACCAAACGUAUAUGCAGCUUUUUUACUGAAACAAAAAAUAGUAAAAAAACGCUUGCAGCAAAAAUGACGCUGGUUGCAACAUAUUUAGACGAAAAAUGUUGCAUCCAUUGACCAGAAAAGCGCGCGGGUGGAAAAAAUGUUGCAAGGACCCGCGCGCGCGAGGGGAUGACCGGCGCGCGGGUGGGAAACGAUUCCCAAGAAUGAUUGGGGCUUUGACUCGAACUCAGGUCCUCUCAUUCCUACAUCUUCUCUGCUAACCACUAGUCCUAGAAGCUAAUAGUAAUCAACUGAACCUCAAAAAUAUUUAAGAAUACUCUAGCCACGUAGUUCCAAAAUCUGAAAGUUCACAUAUUUUUAAAAAGUUCACGAUUGUUUUCUUAAAAAAGCCUCACGUAUUCGAAAAACAAAAUCACGAAAUUGAAAAUUCAUUAAUUUGAGAAUAAAAUUUCACAAAUUUUCAAAAAAAUCUCUAAUUUAAGAAAAGUUUGUAAGUUUGAAAAACGUUAACAGAUUUGAAAAUGUUCACAAGAUCCACAUAAGUUCACCAAAUUGUUAAAAAAAUUCAAGAAUCUUUAAAAAGUUCCAUCAAAUUCGAAAAAAGUUCAUCAAUUUUGAAAAAAGUUCAACGGAUUUCAAAACAAGUUCAUUGAUAUUUUUUUUUUAAGUUCAUCGAAUCUGCAACAGUUUUAUCAAUUUAAAAAAAGUUCAGUGUAUUUUCAAAAAAGUUUAUCAUUUUUUAUAAAUAUUUUGAACAAAAACUUGGAAAAGGUUCAUUGGAUUCGAAAAAGGUUCACCGAAUUUUGAAAAUUUCAUCAAGUUUAAAAAUAGUUCACCAUUUCGUAAAAAGUUCACAAAUUCAAAGGAAAAAAAUCAUCAAUGUUGGAAAAAGUUCAUUGGUUUUUCUAAAAAAAGUUCAUUGUAUUUGAAAAAGUUUGUCAAAUUUGAAAGAAGUUCACUGAACUAGGAAAGAGUUCAUCAAAUUUUAAAAAUUGUGGAUGGAUUAAAAAAUAAACGACUAAGAAAGAAGGAAAAUUAAAAAGAAAAUAAAAACAAAAACAGAAAACAGAUAAAAGGAAAAAUGAAAAAAGAAGAAACAAUGAUAAGGUAAAAAUGACGUAUGUUGACACAUCAAGGAAUGUGGUUACCACUCUUCGCACCGAGCUAGGAGAUCCUGGGUUCGAAUCCUACUCCUUUCCAAUAUUUGAAUGAACAGACAGACGUAAAUGGGCUAACCGGCGCCUGCAGCAUUAAAUAGGAAAUGCCGAAAUGACGAAUAGGAGGUCCCAAAAAACUGUGUGUGCCUGUGCUAGAUUGGGUCAGGCGCAUGUCUGCCUCGCGCACUAGGCUUGGCCCAUCAUCGGUGUGCUUGAGACGAGGAAGUCUUAAGCGAGACAUAGAGGCUCUCACGAAGUAUAGCAUUGUGGACUGGAGUAGAAUAUAGUUCUUUUAAGCUAAGCCUAACCCCCUUUAUGGCCCAAUACAUAUAUAAACACUACACACUCUGUGCCGGCCUACAUGCACUGACCCGAACUUGUACUCGAUCUGGUCAUGGCCCACAAAAUUGGAUCAUUCUACGUUCGAUUCUCCUUUUCUGCUGAAAAAAAUGCAAGACAAUAGAGCAUUUUUUAGGAAGCAAUACCACUAUAUAUGUUGUCAUUGCAACAAUCUAUUAUAUUAAGAGCAUCUACACCCGGACCCCUCAUACAUGUCUCAAACGCCUCGACAGGCCGUCCGACCAGUGAUCGGUCACAAAAACGCGACCCAACCGAACCUCUUAAAUCCGUCUCAAACGCCCGAGCUGACCGGCACUGCUCAUAUCCGGCCCAAAUAUAGGGCUGAUAUGGGGCGGUCCGGUCACACCGGGUGUGUCUGCCCGGUAAGCCCGGUCCAACACUGACCCCACCGUUGUCCCACAAAAUCCCCACUUUGGCCGCCUCGUUCCGAACUCUAGCUCACUCUCUCUCGCUCUGUCCCCUCCUCCCCCUCUUCGAGUAUGAUCCCAUCGUGUCCAAUGUCGAUCUCCGACAGCCGCUCCGGCUCCGACGGUCGCUCCGGCUCCAACGGCUCGGACAUCGACCCCGAGGAGUUGGCCCUCCGCAUCGCCUUGGAGCGCGGUCCAAGGUGGAGACGGCCGGAAGCUCCGGAUCUAGCGCUUAGCCACUGGUCCCGCGUCGACGGAUCUAUGACAUCGAAGCGGGACCCUCCCGGCACGCGAGCAGCUCCGUCGGGACUGCGUCCGCACCUGCCCUGCGUGCUGCCCUUUCCCCGCCGGCCGCUCCUCCACGCGGGCAUCAUUGGGUCCUAGUACCCGCACCAUUGGCCUGCACGGGCACUCCGGAAUCGGAGGCGCGCACCGCCCACCGUGAGAGGCAGCGGGCAAGGGAGAGGGAAACAAAGCAGUCUGUGCGCCACCGUCGCGAGAUGCCGGCUGAGCCCGACAAGGACGAACGCCUCCUCGCAUGGGUGUACCUCGGGUCCCUCACGACGGCAGAGACGAGUGUUCGACACCUUCGUCAGAAGAACGCCAAGGCGUUUCAGCUUGCUAUUGAGCAGUCGGAGCGCGAAGCGAAGGAGCUAGCGGAGGAGAAGGCUCGACUCGCCAAGAUGAAGCGGGAGCAGUACAGGGCCGUCCGUCGGAUGAAUGGCCUCAUCGUCUUCUUGGACUCGGACUCUGACGACGGCAACAACGACACCUCGCCCUUUGACCCUCCGCCAGCCACGAACGGCUACAACUGCGUCGACGACCCACAGGGCAAAGGGCCAGCAAGGAAGUGGUGAUCUGCCCCCCCCCCUCUACGCAUUAUUUAUAUACUCCCUCCGUCCCAAAAUUCUUGUCUUAUUGUCUAAAAAUGGAUGUAUCUAAGUACUAAAACAUAACUAGAUGCAUUCAUAUCUAUACAAAUGUAAGACAAGAAUUUUGGGACGGAGGGAGUAGUUUUUAGUUGUAGUAACGUAAGAAAUUUGUCCGAUGAACUUGAGAUGAUCUUGUGGCUGAUGUUUGAUGUCCGUUUGAAGUUGAUUUUGUGUUUGUGCGUUUUUGAUUUUGUUGUCCUAUGUUUUUUCACGUACAAUAGCUCAACGUUGCGUGGGUAGUACGGAUAUGGGUGUCGGAUAUAAGACAAGCGGAUGUGAAAAGGAAAAUAUGAAACGCGUCUGGCCAGUGUACGAGACGCGACCGUUUGAGGGGUUAGAUUUGCAAGUUACGACUAUAGAUGCUCUAAAUACUAUCUUUCCUGGUUAAAAAGACACUUAAGGCCCCUCCCCACUUCACCUAUGUCUUCGGUUUUGCCGAUUCUUCUCAUUGAUUUUUCUUAAAAGACACCUCAACUGUCUCAUGUAUUUUUAUAGCUUAGCAAAUAAAAUUAUGUUUUCGUUGGUAUGUCUAUAGGUGCUAGUUUAAUUGACAGUCGAUAUAUUAGCAGUUAUGGCGAAGCCACAAGUUCAAAGUUAUGAUCUCAAUUCAUAAUUGUGACCAAAUACGUGUGUUUAUAUGAUUUUUUUUCUUUCUUGAUUUCUACUUAUAUGUGUUGCUUUUGCACAAAUACUGUAUAGUCAACUGACUACACAGAACACAUGUGGAGUCGUCAUUGUGUAAUCACACUUACACACUAUCAAUAAAAUGACGGGUAAAUCAUGAUGAGUGCGUGCAAAAUAUUUAUGCCUCGUUGCAACACCAACCAUUAUCUAAUAGUAGUAGUUAAGAAACAAUAUCCCUGGUCCUCAAAAGGUUCUCCCUUUGCGGCAGCAAGCACAACUUGGUCAGUAACUUGUCAACUCUCAGAGCCAUUCAUGCAUCAUCACCUGAUUAAUUAUUAUUUUUAACGCAAUCACCUGAUUAAUUAAUAACUGGUGAGGGUAUAUCCGUACACAUGCAGCUCAGCUAAUUAGCCACUAGCUGCGGUUGACAUCACUUGCAUAGCUUGUGGGGCAUCACUUUGCUUUCAGCACAAGGAAGUGGUUAAUUAAUCACUUAUUUGAGCUAAGUACCAAUCCAACGUGUGCUUUUGCUUCGUCUUAGGAAGCAGGUUAUGGAGCUGUCUCGUUGAUACCUAGCUACUUGGCACUUGCAGUGGUCAAACACUUGGUAGAAAACAUUUUUUAAUUUUGAGCGUGUUCAUUCUGAUGGAUCGAGAUAGCUUGACCCCUUCAAGUUAUAUGUAAUAAUGCACAUCGAUUGUACAAGCAAAAGGCCGAUUUAAUAUACUCAUGGCAUUAUAUUACUCCGUUGCAUUACGUGAGAGAAUUCUCAAUGAUGAGUGCCAUGCAUGCACAAGGUGAAAAAACAACAAAAACAAUGAAGCGUGCAUGGUUGAUCAAGGUAUCAGUUUACCAUCCCAUUGUUUUUUUUAUCUACCGGUGGUCUACGAAUUCAUAUGUGCUAGUAUUCAGUUGGUAUAACCAUAAUCAGCGAAAAAUUCGAUGGGGCAUCAUGUAUCCGCAGCUUAGUUAUACGCAUACAUACGUAAAAUAUUCAACCCAUGCUACAAAAAAUACUUUUAUCCAUGUGGCAAUCUUGCAUUGCUCCAUAUAUAAUUUCUCAAAUAAAUUGCUAAGAUAUAUUUAAUUAUUAGAUACACGCAUGCCUAUAUGGUUGUUUAAUUACCUUUCACAACAUUUAGUUACUUUUUGUCAAUAACAUUUAACAAAUGUACAACUUGUACUAGUAAGUACGUACAACAAACAAAAUGUAGAUAUAUUGUUACCGCGACGCAUCGCUCAUAGGAGUGGACACGAAAUAGAUAGUGAUAUUGGGCAUUGCUAUUUUCUCCUUAUUGAAUUAAUAUCACAAUUGAUUCGUGUGUACAAAAUAUGAGCAUGACGCCGAGCAGUUGAGUGGCCCCAAUGUGAAUUUAUUUCUAACACCACCUACACCCCAAAUCUAAUGUUGUUAUUCAUGACCAAGUAAUCUUAUUAUUUAUGUGCCUCGUGAGUUUGCUCUUCAUAUUCGGGUUUGCAUUUGUGCAAAUGUGAGCUUCAUUAUCUUCAUGUAUGUAGAUCCGGGUUCCCUCUGCUAUGAUACCAAUUGUAGGAAACCUACUAUGUGAUGGCUUUGAUACCCAUAAUACUUGAGAACCUUCACACUCUCAAAUAAUGGGGAUAACUCGAUCUUUUAUUCACAACCACUAAUAGAAAAACUACUUUACGUGAGAUACAUUAGUCCCUGUUUGUAAACGGACGGGCACUAAUGUGACCAUUAGUGCCGGUUUAAACGGCUAGGGAGGCGCGCAUCAUUAGUCAUGAUUCGUGUUGAACCUCUAGUACCGGUUCGUGACACGAACCGGGACUAAUGGAGUGGUGACAGGCUGGUGUCUGCCUGCUUCAACUCAUGAUACUUGGUACAAACUUUAUUGGUGUCUACCUGCCAUUCUCAUUCAUAGCGGGUCCUACUACUACCUUGGUUCUCUUUCUACCUUGCUUAGUUUGGUUUAUCUUAGGAGGGGAGUCCAUCCCUAUCUAGAGUUGCACAUGACCAUUAGAUUGAUGGCAGGUGGCAACCAUCCAAAACCAAUGCAGUCAUUGCUCUCUGAAUAACCUAGAAAACACCCUACAAAUAUCUUAUAUCUAGUGUUCUCUUUAAUUUGCCACAUAAUUUAUUCAAACAUUUGUUCUAGAACCACCGAGAGAAAUAACAACUCAUGUGUAUUAAUAUCCAAAUGAUCUAGAAGUUUCUUAUCUUUGAGAUGAAUAACUUCUCUAGUAUCCUCCAUGGCAAAUAUCUUGACGUUCUCGAUUCUUAGAAAUAUCUUCAGUGACCCAAGUAUGCAUUGCAUAUUAUCAACAAUAGGAAAUCGAUAGAGUAUCUCAAGAAUGUAAACAACUAUCGGCUAUGGCAUGUCACCGUAUGAGGCCAAAUGGUGUGCAUAUGUCAACAUAGGGAGGAUAUCUAGUGGCCAAGCACUCCCGGUGCUGCCAAUGCACAAAAUCACCAUUCUAUUACUUUCUUUUUUCUUAAAAUGUUAAGUGAGUCAAUAAGAUAUGUUUGUACAAUGUGUGAAAUUUUGAAAUCAAUUCAACCUACAUAUGAUGGAGAAGCAAAAAUAAAUAAAUAAAUAAAUAGAAAUUCAGCCAUGAUGGUGUUUGUAUUUUGAUUUUUUAUAAUAUUCAUAGUUGGAUUUAUCUUUUUCGAGUAAGAUGUUUUUAUCCUCUAUCUACAUACUCCCCCUGUUCCAAAAUAAUUGUCUUAAUCUUGUACUAAUCUUAGUAUAAAAUUAUACUAAUUUUGAGAUACUUAUUUUGUGACGGAGGAAGUGGAAUUUUGUGGUGCCGACCUCUUAGGUGGGACACACACAUGCUUCCAUCGAUGUCCAUGCAUAGGAUGAUGGGAAUAUCAGCAUCUGUCAUUUUUUUUCUAACUGUUUUUACUUCUUCCUUUUUCCAACUAGCUUAGCCUAUCAAUUGCUUGUUCGUGUACAUACUUGUGUGUCUCUCUCGAUAAACUUGUCGUUCCUUGGGUGCGAUGACUUCGCAAGGAAUCCAACCUUUCUACCAGUAAAAAAAAAAAAGACAAGCCAUUGCUCUCCUCUUUAUUUUAAAGUACAUGCACUUCAAUUAUGCACGUCUCUUCCCCCUAACACGAGCAUGCAUUAUAAGUUGCUACUAUUCUAUAAGCUCCAAUUGAUUCAUCCAAAGUCCAAGAUUUGGUUACAAUAAAUAAGGAAAGUAAUUUUAAACUAAUACGAAUUUUAUUCAAUGAAUGUUCACAAUUUACAUCCUAGUUCACCCUACAUAUACAUACAUAUACACACAAGUUAAACAUGCAUCUACAAUCAGUUCUACCUAUCUUGUGACAUAAUUGUGUUCUUCUUCUACUCCGGCCUAUAAUAUCUUACACUAAUCAAUUAACUUUACACAAUAUACGGUACUAAUUUAGCCUGAUCUACAAAUUAUGCAUGAGUAAUAUCCCCCUCGAUCCAUUGAUCGACCGGCAUCAAUAGUGAAUAAUUGAUUAAUAUGUCUGCAGUCAAAUCGCUAGCUAGCUUUCUCCUAGCCCUAAUUAUCAAGGUAGCAUGCAUGGAUCAUAUCCUGUCCUGCUGGGAAGGCUGGUCUGGCCCAAAUAUGGAGAAGCCGCCGUUCAUCAUCGUCAUGGACCCAUCGCUACCCAACCACCUCUUGGAAGCGUGCAACGACGACAUUUCACCAUCGUUAUUGCUGUCCGCCGUCGCCUGCCUCUUCCGCGCCGUGCUGGCCUCGCCGUCGCUGGCCCCAGCAGUGGUGCCGAGGAAGAACUGGCCGACGGAGGUUGCAAUCUCCGGCUGUGGCGGCGGCAUGCUGUCGAAGAGCUCCGAGACGGCUGAGUAGUCCACGAGGUAGUCGGAGAUGGACGGGUUCCUCGGCAGCAUCCGGGAGGAGGAGGAGGUGUCCUCUUGCUGCUGAUGUUGCUGCUGCUGCUGCUGCUGCUGGUGGUGGUGGUGGCCGUGGCCGAGGCCGAGGGUGGCGUCCAUGGACGACGGCGACGGCGACGGCUCGUAGAAGGGCGACAGCUGCUGCGGGUUGGGCUUCUUGUAGAUCCUGCACAGCACCCAAUCAUCCAGCUGCACGCACACAAGAAGGUGAAUCAGUGCCACACACGUGUGUGCAUGUAUGUUGCAACAAACGGUCGCUUGCUAAGCUUGACAGGUAGUUGGUGCUGGUUAGCUAGUAGGUUGUGGCUUGUAAGGUAAUAGUGCAAGUCUCUUUCUUAGGGAAGGAAGAUCCCAGCGGUGAAAGAAACUAUAGCUAAUAGGACGGACAGUGGCUUCCUAGCUCAUUGACCAGGUUAGUUGCUUGCUCGAGCUCAACUCACUGACAUCCACGCACACGCAACUAAUAAGAAGAGAACAAAAGAUUCCUAGCUAGCUCCAACGAGAUGCCUUCCUCGUUAAUUUGCAGCCGCAGAAAACAUGCAUAUGCAUGUGUGAUCAAUCAAGAAGAAAUAAUAAAGCAUGAAAUUACCGAGUACAACAAGAUGAUGGAGAGAGCCAUCGCAAAAAAAGAAAAAAAGAAAGAUGAUGGAGAAAGAGUUGUGCAUGCAUGCGUACCCUCAUGGAGGACGAGGCCUUGAACCGCGUGGGGGGCCGGUAUGUGUGCGCGGCGGCGGCGGCGGCGGCGUGGGCGUCGGCGAGGCGGUACUCGUGCAUGAUCCAGUUCGUCUUGUGCCCCUUGGGCGGACGGCCCUGGUAGAACACGAGCGCCUUCUUGACGCCGACCAUCUCGCCGCCGGGCACGCCGCCGGCCGUGAUGGGCUUGUCGGUGCCGGUGGCCUUCCAGUAGCCCGACCCGGCGGCGCGGUUGGGGCGGACGCCGUUGGGGUACUUGCGGUCGCGGGGGCUGAAGAAGUACCACUCGUCGUUGUCGCCCUCGAACACCGCGCGGGACGGCAGCUCCCACGGGUCCAGCUUGUAGAUGUCCACCUCCGCGAUGACGGCCGCCGGGCACGGCGCCGCGGCCGCGCGCCUGCGGAGGUAGUGCACGAUCAGCUCCUCGUCCGUCGGGUAGAACCGGAACCCCGGCGGCAGCCCCGUGCCCGCCGGCGCCGGGAGCGACGUCGGCCUCGUCUGCAGCUCGAUCGUCAUCACACACACCCGAUCGAACGCUCGGUCAGGGGCUCAAGGCGGCGAGGGAAGGGAAGGGAAGGUGGGUCGAGAGUCGAGACGGAGGAGAACUGAAAUUUUCGGAGGUGGAGGCGACGGGUGCGGUUAUAAAGGCGCCGAGGUGCUCCGGCGCAUGGCAGGCUCUUGUAAUUCUUGGCCGCCGGUGACGAGAGGGAUGAUGAUUGCAAGGGCCCUGCCGUACGUGCGCGUCCAUCCAUAUCACGUCAUCGGCGCUCGCAGGCUCACGUACUUGGCCAGAAUCUUCAAUUUGUUGGAAUAUUUUCUCUCUUUUUUGUGCCAUGUGAGAACGAGAGAGUGGGGGAAAAUAUAUCCGAAAAAGACAUUAGCAGAAUGAAUGGAUGAAAAUUGUGCAAAUGAUUGGAGAAGUUGGAUAUUCGGCUCGGUUUGUAGGACCGGGAAGCGUUCAUGGCCCAGAGGAAUACCAUAGCACAUGAAUACCAGGUACGGUGUUUUUGUGUGUGUUUUCAUUGACCACGCAGGAAUAGCUACUCCUAUGCAUGCAUGCACUGAUGCACAUGCAUGGUGCCAUUUGCUGCUGGCUGAGACAUUUCAAAGAAAAUUAGUAUUAUUCAUUGCUGAAAUGCAAAGCUCGGAAAAUCAUUGGAGUUGUCAUAGACUACAAACUACAAGUUGAUUGAAUUCAGAUCAAGAUUUUUGUAGGCCCGGGAUUAUCCGAUCUUCAUUUAAUUCUGUUCAUUGCUAAAACGGAGGGACUUAGGAGUAUGCAUGCACAUGCAUUAGAGUCAUCUGCUGCUUAGCUGCUAGCCGAGACAUACAAAAUUAUAUUCCCUGCUGGUAUGCAAAACCAUUGGAGCUGUCUAGACUACUAAUUGAUUGAAGUUGCUUAAAUAUCUCCAUCAAACUCUAAGCAUUCAGAUCAAGAUUUAAUCAUUUUCAUAAAGCGCACGAAGGUUCUACUUGCACAGUUGAAGAGUGAAAUUUAAGAACUGGUAGUGCGCAAUUUGUAGUAACUGAAUCCAAAAGGAAAGGUACCUACGGGCG
RNAcentral lists this long non-coding RNA (15106 nucleotides) under Hordeum vulgare. RNAcentral describes it as "long non-coding RNA (HVUL_LNC006383)". The stretch from base 8319 to 8451 matches the Rfam family "MIR1120/MIR1122 microRNA precursor family". Lineage: Eukaryota; Viridiplantae; Streptophyta; Magnoliopsida; Poales; Poaceae. The record is from RNAcentral.